RNAcentral lists this long non-coding RNA (777 nucleotides) under Chloebia gouldiae (Gouldian finch). RNAcentral's name for it is "Erythrura gouldiae (Gouldian finch) lncRNA (ENSEGOG00005003353.1)". Lineage: Eukaryota; Metazoa; Chordata; Aves; Passeriformes; Passeridae. The record is from RNAcentral.
CACACCCUCCCCAUGGCCAUGGUUGUCACUCAUGAACCCUGUCUCCAUCACUUCCCAGCUGCUCUCUCUUCUCCAGAUGCUGGAUGUGACAGUGUCCCAACUCCUAAACUUACAGCCCAGCCUGGCAGCACAAGUCACCCCAAAGCACCGAGACAUAAAGGAGAGCUGGGCACAGCUCCAACAGGCACUGAGGACAGGGAAAGUUCCAGCACGGGGAGGCAGUUCCCCGGGGGGCAAAGCUGCAGCUCCAAAUGUUGAGCCUCGAGGAGACGAUAGCAGUCAUGGGGCUGUGGGUAAGAAAGCAGCAGCCAAGUGGACAAGAGGACUCGGCAGCAUGGUACUAAAAGAUGUGCUGGAGAAGAUGGCAGAGCACAAGAAAGGAGAGGAAAGCAACCCUGGCUCCCCAGCAGUGGGACAGGCCCCUCAUGGAGGGGACAACAAAAGGAGGAGAGAGGCAGAGGCUGAGUGCGGGCUGCAGCAGCUGGAGACCCAAGUGCAGGAUGUCUGCCAGACUCUGUCCCCAUACAAGGGGAGUAUGGGUAUGGGAGUCCCCUCAUGUCCAGUGGCAAGCCUGGAGGCAGCAAGGAUGCAGCAAAAGCCCCUGUCCCCCAGCUCCAGUACCAGGCUCCUGGAGGAACCAGCACGAGGAAGGACUCCCAGGAGCCCUCGGGUGGAGGCCAUGCUGUGGGAACUGGGAGAGUUAUGGGAGGACCUGCAGAGGAGGCAUCACGAGAAUGGCGUAGUGCUGCAAGAAAUCGAUAAGGUACGUGGUGUCAG